UACGUAGGGCGCAAGCGUUAUCCGGAAUUAUUGGGCGUAAAGAGCUCGUAGGCGGUUUGUCGCGUCUGCCGUGAAAGUCCGGGGCUCAACUCCGGAUCUGCGGUGGGUACGGGCAGACUAGAGUGAUGUAGGGGAGACUGGAAUUCCCGGUGUAGCGGUGAAAUGCGCAGAUAUCAGGAGGAACACCAAUGGCGAAGGCAGAUCUCUGGGCCGUAACUGACGCUGAGGAGCGAAAGCAUGGGGAGCGAACAGG
This 253-nucleotide ribosomal RNA is filed under the name uncultured bacterium. Its description in RNAcentral is "partial 16S ribosomal RNA". It matches the Rfam family "Bacterial small subunit ribosomal RNA", at positions 524 to 776 of the family's 1533-position model. The record is from RNAcentral.